GGCUCAGGAUGAACGCUGGCGGCGCACAUAAGACAUGCAAGUCGAACGAACUUAAUCAUCUUUAGAUGAAAGCGGUUAGUGCGGACUGGUGAGUAAUGUAUAAGCAACCUGCCUAUCAGAGGGGAAUAACAGUGAGAAAUCAUUGCUAAUACCGCAUAUGCUAACAGAUUCGCAUGAAUCAGUUAGGAAAGGAGCAAUCCGCUGAUAGAUGGGCUUAUAUCUGAUUAGCCUGUUGGUGGGGUAACGGCCUACCAAAGCUACGAUCAGUAGCCGGACUGAGAGGUUGAACGGCCACAUUGGGACUGAGAUACGGCCCAGACUCCUACGGGAGGCAGCAGUCGGGAAUAUUGCGCAAUGGAAGGAAACUCUGACGCAGUGACGCCGCGUAUAGGAAGAAGGUUUUCGGAUUGUAAACUAUUGUCGUUAGGGAAGAUUUAAGACAGUACCUAAGGAGGAAGCCCCGGCUAACUAUGUGCCAGCCGCGGC
RNAcentral lists this ribosomal RNA (486 nucleotides) under uncultured bacterium. RNAcentral's name for it is "bacterial SSU rRNA". It matches the Rfam family "Bacterial small subunit ribosomal RNA", at positions 21 to 518 of the family's 1533-position model. The record is from RNAcentral.